AUUGAACGCUGGCGGCAUGCUUUACACAUGCAAGUCGAACGGCAGCGCGGGCUUCGGCCUGGCGGCGAGUGGCGAACGGGUGAGUAAUACAUCGGAACGUGCCCAGUAGUGGGGGAUAGCUCGGCGAAAGCCGGAUUAAUACCGCAUACGACCUGAGGGUGAAAGCGGGGGAUCUUCCGACCUCGCGCUAUUGGAGCGGCCGAUGGCAGAUUAGCUUGUUGGUGGGGUAAAGGCCUACCAAGGCGACGAUCUGUAGCUGGUCUGAGAGGACGACCAGCCACACUGGGACUGAGACACGGCCCAGACUCCUACGGGAGGCAGCAGUGGGGAAUUUUGGACAAUGGGCGCAAGCCUGAUCCAGCAAUGCCGCGUGUGUGAUGAAGGCCUUCGGGUUGUAAAGCACUUUUGGCGGGAACGAAAAGGACUGUGCCAAUACCACGGUUCGAUGACGGUACCCGAAGAAUA
RNAcentral lists this ribosomal RNA (465 nucleotides) under Lautropia mirabilis. Its description in RNAcentral is "bacterial SSU rRNA". It matches the Rfam family "Bacterial small subunit ribosomal RNA", at positions 29 to 488 of the family's 1533-position model. Lineage: Bacteria; Pseudomonadati; Pseudomonadota; Betaproteobacteria; Burkholderiales; Burkholderiaceae. The record is from RNAcentral.